GACGAACGCUGGCGGCGUGCUUAACACAUGCAAGUCGAACGGAGAGGCCCUGCUUUUGUGGGGUGCUCGAGUGGCGAACGGGUGAGUAACACGUGAGUAACCUGCCCUUGACUUUGGGAUAACUUCAGGAAACUGGGGCUAAUACCGGAUAGGAGCUCCUGCUGCCUGGUGGGGGUUGGAAAGUUUCGGCGGUUGGGGAUGGACUCGCGGCUUAUCAGCUUGUUGGUGGGGUAGUGGCUUACCAAGGCUUUGACGGGUAGCCGGCCUGAGAGGGUGACCGGCCACAUUGGGACUGAGAUACGGCCCAGACUCCUACGGGAGGCAGCAGUGGGGAAUAUUGCACAAUGGGCGGAAGCCUGAUGCAGCAACGCCGCGUGCGGGAUGACGGCCUUCGGGUUGUAAACCGCUUUCGCCUGUGACGAAGCGUGAGUGACGGUAAUGGGUAAAGAAGCACCGGCUAACUACGUG
Molecule: ribosomal RNA, 468 nt
Filed under: uncultured bacterium
Lineage: Bacteria
Description: partial 16S ribosomal RNA
Rfam family: Bacterial small subunit ribosomal RNA
Source: RNAcentral